CAAAGACAAAACUAAAAUAAAGCUGAUUACUGUGCGACGCUGUCAAGAAAGCGAUCCACAAAGGAUUAGUAGAUUUAAUCUCGCGCCGCUUCACCCCAUUUACUGUUCAUAUUCUCGCAUGUUAUUAAUUGCAGUUCCGAUUAUAUAUUAGUUGGUUUGAAAUUCUAGAAAAUAUAGUCUUGUAUGAGACACAUUGUCGCAUUACGGUCUCAUGAUGGUGAACAUUUGUGUCAAGUUAUUUCAAAAUCCCUUAAUGCAUAAAGACGUAAUGGCACUGAUACGAAACACAGACCAUGUUUCACCUUUAAGUGUAACUUUAAAAAGAAAAAGGAAAGUAAUAAGAUGGACAUUAACUACAUAUGGCCGAUGUUUGUAUGAAAACUUUGAGAAAGGUAGGUGCAAUAGCAUUGAAGAAAUUGCACGACUAAAUAUAUGAGGACACAUAUACAAACAGAUCGAACAGACAGACCGCAUGGUGACUGCUUUAUACCACCCUCCUUCAAACAUUGUUUGCGGGUUCUAAAUAUGAAGAAAUACUACAGGAGCAUAGGAAACGCCGAUGUUUUUUAAAGAAGUCACUCACAAACAGGCAUACAGUCUUUAUAUCAAACUCACAAGCACUUGUACAGAAAUUAAGCAAGCAUGCAUACAGUCGGGAAUAGCAUUGAAUUUUCUUUCCUUUACGGUUAUAAACAAAUUCGAGUAUUUAUCAAUGGUUUUAUUUCAUUUUACUAAACUAGUUUUGUUUCUUUAUCCAUGAAACAGUGGAAUUUACAUAUAGGUCAUUCUUCAAGCAAGAAAAUAAGUACUUUUGACGCUGACAAUGUAUAAUUUCUCGACAAAAUCAGUGAUCAAUCGAGUUUUUUGCUAUAAUUCUACCUGUCAUCAGACUAGCACAUUAUAUACAGAAACAAGUCAUGUUCAGGUUCUAAUAAAAUGUAAAUAUAUAUACCUUUAAAGCAAAUCAGUCACUUUAAAAUGCUGUUUUUCAACGUUUAGAUGUCAGUUUAUUGUUUUGAUCACUCGCAAGAGGAAGAGGGGAAAUACAGUCGUUUAUAGGGUGUGAUAUUUGGACGGGGCGAAAGGAUCUCCUGUGUAUUUACCUGUUUAUUACAUGUGUACCUAUACUAUAGCGAGAAUAGCCAAGUGUGCCAUUUAUGGGCACUAGCAACCACUGACAUAAUAAUUUUCAGCUUUUUCAGUUGUAAUUCUAUUUCUGUGUUGAAUUCAGUUUUGUACUCGACACUGUUUUACCUCUUUAUGUCACACCAGUGUUUUGCGUGAUUCAUUAGUUUUAAGAAGUCAUGCAACGAAAGGGUAAGUGGGAUUAUUUCUUUAUUUCGCAAUUAAAUUGAUCUUGUAAUAAUGAUACAGCUCUACAAAUCUCGCAUGCUUGUUAGUGAGUUUUGAAUUAGAUCUAGAUGCAUAUCAGGCGGAAUUUUCGCAGUGAGUUUGAUUAGAAAAUUUGAAAAUGGGAAAAAGUCAUAAAAGCUGUAAAAAUAAAAAUAAAGUAGUUUGUUUAACAUCAUGUAAGACCAUAUUUAUCUUAUCUUACGUUGUCAUUUUACACAAUUGCUACAAAUAUUGAGUCUACCUGAAUUCUUAAUUGAAAUCGUCCUGAAAGAUUUUCGAGUACGCUACCCAUCAAUAUUCUAGUUGAGAGAAUAUAAAUUGAAGUAAGUAAGAAGAAAAUAGUGAGGGUUGUAAACGUCAACUGAGUCUCAUGAAACACAGUCACAGGGUGACCCUUUUUGAAAGUAGCAACUCACAUGUAAUAAUCAACAUUACCAAUAAACACACUUUGCAUUUUAAACAGUGGGCGAGAUUGAGAAAUCGCUUCCGCCAAAGAUUCUAUCCCAGAAAGGGUGCAGAACUUGACCCAGAAACCUUGUUAAAUGAAACAGGGACUCGUGAAAUGGUCGUCAGGAAAGCUCCUUACAAGUCCAACAAAGUAGUACCUCAAAAUCUGGCAUCUACGGCCGUCGUGAAAGACGAUCCAGUAGUUGCUGAAAGUGCACUACCAGCAGAAACUACGGAUGAAGGUUUUGAAACACUUGUUGGAGAAUACGUGUCUUGCAUUAUACGCAAGACUGCUGACUCACUGAGAAAGGCAUCACCAAAGAACACAAAAGCCAUCAGGGAGAAAUCAGCAGACGACGGCGUGUCUUUGUCGUCAAGUAUCAUAAGCUAAAUUGCUGACAUAGCUGUAACUGACAGUUUGUCAAAUGUAGUGUCAGAAGCCGACGUCAACCAUUCUGCCAUUCGUAACGCUACACCUAAAACUAUCAAAUAAUUUAUGGAGGCCUUCGGCAUUGUUGGAGAUACCGUUACAGAUAACGUUACAGAUGAUGGUCUACCAACAGUUAGUUUCUAAGAGGCCAAGACGGAACUACAAGCCAAUUAUUAUAUUUUAAUUAUAUUAUAUUGUUAAUUGACUGCAUACUAAACACUGAAUCGCAUUUUUUUUAAAUAUUUAUAUUAUAUUGUUAAUUGACUGCAUACUAAACACUAAAUCGCGUUUAAAAAAAAAUAUUUUGAAGUUCUGAAUUAUAUUUUUUACAAUAAAAUUCAUAGAC
Molecule: long non-coding RNA, 2576 nt
Organism: Mercenaria mercenaria
Lineage: Eukaryota; Metazoa; Mollusca; Bivalvia; Venerida; Veneridae
Exons: 6
Source: RefSeq, a predicted model, not a curated record